This is a long non-coding RNA of Herpailurus yagouaroundi (jaguarundi), 695 nucleotides long. RefSeq lists it as uncharacterized. The transcript has 2 exons. The record is from RefSeq and is a predicted model, not a curated record. NCBI's taxonomy places the organism in Eukaryota, Metazoa, Chordata, Mammalia, Carnivora, Felidae.
CGUGAACCACCUCAAGAGCCAGGGGCUCUUCGACCAGUUCCGCAGGGACUGCCUGGCCGACGUGGACACCAAGCCUGCCUAUCAGAACCUGAGACAACGGGUUGACAGCUUUGUUGCGAACCACUUGGCAACUCAUACAUGGAGUCCUCACCUCAAUAAGAACCAGCUGAGAAACAACAUUAGACAGCAGGUGCUCAAGUAAGUCUUCCAGACCCAGAGUCCCUAGGCAGGCUUGAAGGCGUCAGUCUGCUCUGUGGAAGGCAGAGACCAUUUUGUGGAAGCUAGAUGUCAUUUUAUCACGUCUGGUUGGCUGUUUCGAGGAUGACGCAGUGCAGUUUUAGAGGGGGCUCAAAUCGCUUCACGUUUCCCCAUGAAUUUUAGCAGUCUGACUUCUGCAGACCUUUGGAAAUACCUGAAGGACCAGGAUGCCAGUGUGACUCCAGAAACAAAAUACUAGGGUAUAAUGUUAAUUGCUGGUAAGUGCCAGAAUAUCCCAUAAAGGUCAGGCUUUAUUAUUCUGCUUUCAUAAGUAAAAAAGGCAUUCUAGAUCACGGCAGUUAAAAUAAUUUCCCCUAAUUUGAGGCCAUGUCUCCUAUCUUCUAAUACGACUCCCCUCUUUUUUUUUUCUUUUGCACUUUACUAUGACUUUUAAGUCUGCUGCUUAGUGAUGAUAUAGCCAAAAAAAAAAAAAAAAA